RNAcentral lists this long non-coding RNA (266 nucleotides) under Elaeis guineensis (African oil palm). Its description in RNAcentral is "long non-coding RNA (EGUI_LNC010970)". The record is from RNAcentral. Lineage: Eukaryota; Viridiplantae; Streptophyta; Magnoliopsida; Arecales; Arecaceae.
CCUUAAUUGAAGUGGUUAGAAAAUAAAGAGUACCUUGAGAGUCAAGCUAUAAAAAAGUUUAGGAACAAUGCAGUAGGUAGGCAGAAUAAAUGAAUUAUCUUAAGAGGGAGAGGGUGUUGGGUUUGGAUGACUAGGGGGAUAAAUCUGUUGAAACUGUUGUAAUGAAUCAGGUUUGGAUUGGUAAGAUGACUUUCUCUUUGUUGGACUGUUGUGGUUUGACUUUGUUAGGUAUAAUAACUUGGGAAUUGGUUGGUGAUUUUGGUUGG